CAGCAGCCACGGUAAUACAGAGGAUGCAAGCGUUAUCCGGAAUGAUUGGGCGUAAAGCGUCUGUAGGUGGCUUUUCAAGUCCGCCGUCAAAUCCCAGGGCUCAACCCUGGACAGGCGGUGGAAACUACCAAGCUGGAGUACGGUAGGGGCAGAGGGAAUCUCCGGUGGAGCGGUGAAAUGCGUUGAGAUCGGAAAGAACACCAACAGCGAAAUCACUCCGCUGGGCCGACACUGACACUGAGAGACAAAAGUUAGGGGAGCAAAUGGGAUUAGAUACCCGCGUAGUCCCUGUCUCUUAUAA
Molecule: ribosomal RNA, 301 nt
Filed under: uncultured bacterium
Lineage: Bacteria
Description: partial 16S ribosomal RNA
Rfam family: Bacterial small subunit ribosomal RNA
Source: RNAcentral